UGCAAGUCACGGGGGGUAGCAAUACCAACCGGCGAACGGGUGCGUAACACGUGAGCAAUCUGCCGAUGUCUGGGGGAUAGCCGGCCCAACGGCCGGGUAAUACCGCAUACGCUUGCUUUGAGGAGUCUCGAGGCAAGGAAACCUCCGGGGGACAUCGAGGAGCUCGCGGCCUAUCAGCUAGUUGGCGGGGUAAUGGCCCACCAAGGCGAUGACGGGUAGCUGGUCUGAGAGGAUGGCCAGCCACAUUGGGACUGAGAAACGGCCCAGACUCCUACGGGAGGCAGCAGUGGGGAAUCUUGCGCAAUGGCCGAAAGGCUGACGCAGCGACGCCGCGUGUGGGAGGACGCCCUUCGGGGUGUAAACCACUGUUGCCCGGGACGAACAUCCCCUUUCGAGGGGACUGACGGUACCGGGUGAGGAAGCACCGGCUAACUCCGUGCCAGCAGCCGCGGUAAUACGGAGGGUGCGAGCGUUGUCCGGAAUCACUGGGCGUAAAGGGCGCGUAGGCGGCGCGGGUAGUCGUCGGUGAAAGCUCAGGGCUCAACUCUGAGUCGGCCGGUGAUACUCCCGUGCUUGAGCACUGUAGAGGCAGGUGGAAUUCCGGGUGUAGCGGUGGAAUGCGUAGAGAUCCGGAAGAACACCGGUGGCGAA
Molecule: ribosomal RNA, 651 nt
Filed under: uncultured earthworm cast bacterium
Lineage: Bacteria
Description: bacterial SSU rRNA
Rfam family: Bacterial small subunit ribosomal RNA
Source: RNAcentral